CCUACGGGGUGCAGCAGUGGGGGAUAUUGCACAAUGGGGGAAACCCUGAUGCAGCGACGCCGCGUGUGGGAAGACGGUCCUCUGGAUUGUAAACCACUGUCCCCAGGGACGAAGAUGACGGUACCUGGGGAGGAAGCUCCGGCUAACUACGUGCCAGCAGCCGCGGUAAUACGUAGGGAGCGAGCGUUGUCCGGAAUUACUGGGUGAAAAGGGAGCGUAGGCGGGACUGCAAGUUGGGUGUCAAAUCUACCGGCUCAACCGGUAGCCGCACUCAAAACUGCAGUUCUUGAGUGAAGUAGAGGCAGGCGGAAUUCCUAGUGUAGCGGUGAAAUGCGUAGAUAUUAGGAGGAACACCAGUGGCGAAGGCGGCCUGCUGGGCUUUUACUGACGCUGAGGCUCGAAAGUGUGGGGAGCAAACAGGAUUAGAUACCCCGGUAGUC
This 440-nucleotide ribosomal RNA is filed under the name uncultured bacterium. RNAcentral's name for it is "partial 16S ribosomal RNA". It matches the Rfam family "Bacterial small subunit ribosomal RNA", at positions 338 to 795 of the family's 1533-position model. The record is from RNAcentral.